This 311-nucleotide ribosomal RNA is filed under the name Deltaproteobacteria bacterium. Its description in RNAcentral is "partial 23S ribosomal RNA". It matches the Rfam family "Bacterial large subunit ribosomal RNA", at positions 2614 to 2925 of the family's 2925-position model. The record is from RNAcentral. Lineage: Bacteria; Pseudomonadati; Myxococcota; Myxococcia.
GACCGUCGUGAGACAGGUCGGUCUCUAUCCGCUGUGGGCGUAGGGGACUUGAGGGGAGCUGCUCUUAGUACGAGAGGACCGGAGUGGACAGACCGCUAGUGUGCCAGUUGUCCCGCCAGGGGCAUCGCUGGGUAGCUACGUCUGGCAGAGAUAACCGCUGAAAGCAUCUAAGUGGGAAACUCGCCCCCCAAGAUGAGGUCCCCCACCGGAUUAACCGGGUAAGACCGCAGGAAGACUACCUGUUUGAUAGGCGGGAGGUGUAAGCGCAGCAAUGCGUUCAGCUAACCCGUACUAACGGUCGAGGGCUUAAC